CGUUAACGAUAUUUGUUUAGCACGUGCAAUAGGAGUGACUCACACAAGCCAGGUGCGCCGGCCGUGUCGUUCGACUCGUAAACAACAGCUGCAACAGAAGUGACUCAUAAGCCAGCUGCGCCGGCUAGUAUAAAAAGGCGGAACGUGCCUUGCAAUGAACAUUCGUUGGACUGCGUUUGCCUGGUGCACUUACUAUAUCCUUGUUACGUUGUGUGAUUCAGUGACUGUUGUACGUACUGGUUAAAGUUGGACAAGUGUUAAAGUGAAUUGUUAAGAUAACAUAUUGUUGAUUAAAUCAGAAAUCAAAGGUGACUUCGUUUAACUUGGUGUUCAACAAAAUAAUGUCUACCCUCAAGCUUACAUCAGAAGUGAGAUCAGGACUCUACUCUCACUGGCGUGACGUGUUUGAACAUGUUCGAAGUACAGCAAAAAAAACAUGAUGCAGAUCAGAAUACUAGUAGUGGUACGCCACAAGAGCGUGAAUGCAGCAUACGUAAGUCGUGUAAUAACGUCUCUGUUACCUCGAUGGAAGAUCUGAGCCACGAAGAAAUCGUCACAUCUUACGUUCUGGCUCAUGUUGCCCAGUUUGACUGUCGACUUCAUCACAUGGCAUUUACUAACGGAAAUAAAACACGUAACAAGCUAUUGCAAGAAAUUAAGGCAAGUGCAAAUCUCAAGUGAAACUUCGAUCGCAAUAAUGGAUCUGUCAUGACGAGUGGGUAGUUCCGACACGAAUCGUUUUUAAGCCAAUGACUACUGCUAGAGUUACAUGGCACUAGUACAGUAAACCAGGACAUGAGACUGUGAAUUGUCGCUGAAAUUUUAGAAUCUACUCGAUUCAACACCAAUAACACUACACGUUCGAUGACUUCGGGCUCCAGCAAGCAAGAAAACAAGAAAGCAAGCAAGUUUCCGUGGGGAAGAAAAAUUGACACAUCUGAAGUCGUCGUGACCUGUAAGAUAAGACGUCCGGUGCGUUCGUGUCUGGCGAUGCGGCGGUGUUCGGGUUCCGCUGGCGGAUGCAGGUUUUUCCGGUGAAGUGCGUGCUUGUGCCUGCUUGACAAGUGUUCGCGGUUGGCUUCCUCAGUGUGGGAGUAACAUCGUGUAGCCGGAGGUGAGACUUCCGCGGUCGCGGCCUACCCAGUCCGCGAGAACCGGGCAGAUCGCCUCGACGGUACGGAGGCCGGCCGACGGGUCCGCCAAACGACGAGACCACGCCUCCAGCACGGACUGCCGAUAUUGGAGCCCCCGCGCUCCGGCUGCACUUGCGCUAGGGCGCGCCGCCUCGUAGGAGACUGUGAGGUGCUGUGGCAGGUCCAACCAGAGACGUCAACGUGUGUUCCAGAGCUUCAGUGUGUUACAGAUAAGUGGUUUUGGCUCCCCCUUUAUGUUCCAUUCAGGGUCAGAAUGUAGUCUUAUAAAACAAAGCCAUAGUAAUUUAUUCAAUGGUAAGCGGUUUCAUGAACAAGUCACCGUAGUCACCCUAGACACGUCCUUACGGAUCCAUCAGAUCCAAUAACUCUUGCAUUAGAUACCUUCAGCUCUAACACUAGGAGCAGGCUGAGGAACCCCAGUAAUCGUACUCGUCGAACUCAACAAAGAGGUCGACGUGCAACCUAACCCAUGCAUCAGCCCACUGAGUUUCUCGCCGGAUCUUCUCAGUGGGUCGCGAUUCCGAUCCGGUAGUAGAUUCAUUCGCGAAGCGAUUGCUCUUGAGUUGUUAGGUCUCCUGCGGAGGCGCUCGGGCAGUUGUUAGCAAAUCCCACCCCUCUUGGCUGAGCCUUUGCUCGCCCACCCGUCCUGGUGAAGCGGGAAAGGCCUCCGGGCCACCAGUAAUCUUUCAAUCAUCUGCAGUUUUGGAAAACGAUAGGUAUAAGUUGAGACGUGUAAAUGGUUCUAGUGUACAAAGUUCUAAAUGAAAACUUACGCGAAGUACCUCGAGGCCCGUCAGGCCUAGUAGAAAUUUCUGAAAAUUAUAGUGACGAUGACGUGACGGCGUACACAGAUGGGUUAAGUAAUCUUGUUCAUGAAACUGAUCUUAAUGAUGACGACUCUAUCACUGACAAUAGAAGCUACAUUUUUGUCCGCAAAUAGCGAUACAGCAAACAUAGUCUGCGGGUAGUGAUACAAUGUCUGUAAGCUCAGGCACCUUAGGUGCAGGUGUUGGAAAUGUAAAAACGAUGGUCGGUCUCGCACUAUUUCUGAAGAAAUUCCGUAUAAAUGUUCUGGUUUAAGAAAUGUUUUAACAAACGCUACCGUACACGCAGAUUAAAAAAAAAAAGAGGAGAAUUGUAUGUGGCUAGAGAGAUGUUAAUCCGGACUAGCAAAAAAAAAAAAAGAGAAAAAAAAAAAAAAAGAAAGUGAGAAGUCAUUGAAGGGUCUGUCCGGUCCAAUGGCUUGGCUAUAGGGAUUUUCAUCCAGAUUAGCCACAACAAUUAGCUACAGGGAUUGCGAUUCGGUCUAGCAUUAUCCGGUCCAGUUCGAAAAACUGAAGGGAUAACAAUUCCGGUCUAAGUUAAAAGGGACAUACUUACAUACCUGAAGAGUUUUAAAUGAACUGGCCCAGGUAUGUAAGCAGUCUGAAGGUUAUUUAUAGCCAGUAUAGGAUUUUCUGAAGAAUUAUGCGAACCGAACUGUACUAGAUUGUUAAUAUCAUAGACCACGUUUUAAGUUGCAUCCGUUAAUGUCAGGAUGAACGAACACGUUUGUUGUUCACAGACAUACCAUAAGAAUGCGCGCACGAGGACGAGCGCACGUCAGUAUGGCCGUGACGGCGUUAACGAUAUUUGUUUAGCACGUGCAAUAGGAGUGACUCACACAAGCCAGGUGCGCCGGCCGUGUCGUUCGACUCGUAAACAACAGCUGCAACAGAAGUGACUCAUAAGCCAGCUGCGCCGGCUAGUAUAAAAAGGCGGAACGUGCCUUGCAAUGAACAUUCGUUGGACUGCGUUUGCCUGGUGCACUUACUAUAUCCUUGUUACGUUGUGUGAUUCAGUGACUGUUGUACGUACUGGUUAAAGUUGGACAAGUGUUAAAGUGAAUUGUUAAGAUAACAUAUUGUUGAUUAAAUCAGAAAUCAAA
Molecule: long non-coding RNA, 3081 nt
Organism: Bombyx mori (domestic silkworm)
Lineage: Eukaryota; Metazoa; Arthropoda; Insecta; Lepidoptera; Bombycidae
Exons: 2
Source: RefSeq, a predicted model, not a curated record